RNAcentral lists this ribosomal RNA (433 nucleotides) under uncultured bacterium. Its description in RNAcentral is "partial 16S ribosomal RNA". It matches the Rfam family "Bacterial small subunit ribosomal RNA", at positions 29 to 507 of the family's 1533-position model. The record is from RNAcentral.
AACGAACGCUGGCGGCAUGCCUAACACAUGCCAGUCGAACGAGACCUUCGGGUCUAGUGGCGCACGGGUGCGUAACGCGUGGGAACCUGCCCUUAGGUUCGGAAUAACUCCCCGAAAGGGGUGCUAAUACCGGAUAAUGUCUUCGGACCAAAGAUUUAUCGCCUUUGGAUGGGCCCGCGUUGGAUUAGCUAGUUGGUAGGGUAAAAGCCUACCAAGGCGACGAUCCAUAGCUGGUCUGAGAGGAUGAUCAGCCACACUGGGACUGAGACACGGCCCAGACUCCUACGGGAGGCAGCAGUGGGGAAUAUCGGACAAUGGGCGAAAGCCUGAUCCAGCAAUGCCGCGUGAGUGAUGAAGGCCUUAGGGUUGUAAAGCUCUUUUACCCGGGAUGAUAAUGACAGUACCGGGAGAAUAAGCUCCGGCUAACUCCGUG